Molecule: ribosomal RNA, 29 nt
Filed under: Ilyonectria crassa
Lineage: Eukaryota; Fungi; Ascomycota; Sordariomycetes; Hypocreales; Nectriaceae
Description: partial 18S ribosomal RNA
Source: RNAcentral
GUCUCGUUGGUGACCAGCGGAGGGACAUU